UAAGUCUGAUGUGAAAGCCCACGGCUCAACCGUGGAGGGUCAUUGGAAACUGGGAGACUUGAGUGCAGGAGAGAAAAGUGGAAUUCCACGUGUAGCGGUGAAAUGCGUAGAGAUGUGGAGGAACACCAGUGGCGAAGGCGGCUUUUUGGCCUGUAACUGACGCUGAGGCGCGAAAGCGUGGGGAGCAAACAGGAUUAGAUACCCUGGUAGUCCACGCCGUAAACGAUGAGUGCUAGGUGUUGGGGGGUUCCACCCUCAGUGCUGAAGUUAACACAUUAAGCACUCCGCCUGGGGAGUACGACCGCAAGGUUGAAACUCAAAGGAAUUGACGGGGGCCCGCACAAGCAGUGGAGCAUGUGGUUUAAUUCGAAGCAACGCGAAGAACCUUACCAGGUCUUGACAUCCUCUGACCACUCUAGAGAUAGAGCUUUCCCCUUCGGGGGACAGAGUGACAGGUGGUGCAUGGUUGUCGUCAGCUCGUGUCGUGAGAUGUUGGGUUAAGUCCCGCAACGAGCGCAACCCUUGACCUUAGUUGCCAGCAUUCAGUUGGGCACUCUAAGGUGACUGCCGGUGACAAACCGGAGGAAGGUGGGGAUGACGUCAAAUCAUCAUGCCCCUUAUGACCUGGGCUACACACGUGCUACAAUGGAUGGUACAAAGGGUUGCGAAGCCGCGAGGCCAAGCCAAUCCCAAAAAGCCAUUCUCAGUUCGGAUUGUAGGCUGCAACUCGCCUACAUGAAGCCGGAAUU
Molecule: ribosomal RNA, 749 nt
Filed under: Fictibacillus barbaricus
Lineage: Bacteria; Bacillati; Bacillota; Bacilli; Caryophanales; Fictibacillaceae
Description: bacterial SSU rRNA
Rfam family: Bacterial small subunit ribosomal RNA
Source: RNAcentral